AAAAAAAUGCAAGGCACUCUUGAAAAGAAUCAGGUUCAAUAACACAAGACAUAAGAAACAUCAUAAACCCCAGAAGAUUAAUCCCUCACCUAUAUCUAAAAGGGAUUUCAAAUACCCUACAGGGUACACAUGCAUUGUCAAAGAAAUCAACACCAGCAUCCUGUGAAUUGAAAUUUAAUUUAAGUGAAAAAAAUCAACUAAUAUAAACAACAGUGUUGGAGUUUUUCUUUUGUUGCUUGUAUAACUUUUGCUAUAAUAAACCCCCCACUGAUGAGCAAAGAACUCAGGAUAUCCAUGUUGCUGAUCCUUGGUAGUUGAUAUUCAUACUAGCUCCCAGCAUGUCAUAGAAGUUUCCAUUCUCUGAUUUCCUCUACUAUAAUAAGUCAUGAUCAUUAUCCCUUUUCCUUGAUGGCUCUGUUUGAGUAUACAAACACAGAGAAUUCAGCUUAUUUCAGCCUGUCAGCUUCAAAUGUUGUCAGCCUCUUCAACAUUACGGCGCUCAGAUAUCUUUGAAAGAUCAUUAUCAAUCUCUAGAUUAUCCUCUACUUUUGUUCGACGGUACCCAUCUGAAUCAUCCACGUUCACUUCUCGGGGCAGACACAUGGAUGGCAUCAUUGCCUGUUCUCGUACAUAUGCACGGAAAUUGUUUCUUGAAGGCUUCAUUUUGGUGCAGAAUACCUCAAGAAAAUUAAUUAGGCACCCCUGGUUAUAGACAUUGCGCCCAUUACGUGCUCCAUAGCGGAAGUUCUCAUACGUGGUCUGAAGAAAUUAUUAAUGAAUUAAAGGACUUCAGGAAAUGGAAAGAAAAAAAGAAAUCUGCACAUAAGAAGGAAUACCCUUUUCUGGUUUCUAUUCUCCAAUUCAAUUCUUUUUAAUACCAUUCCAGAUAUGAGUUUUUGACAAAAAUGCUUCUAAUCAGAGAAAAAGAAUCAGGUUUUAUAUCUUUCGUUUGACAUAUAAAAAGCAUCUUUCAAUAUUUUUACCAAUAACUCAAAAGCUACCUCAUUCCUCAUAUUCAUUUAAGGUGUGGGAGGGAACACUAGCUGACCAUAACAAAAAUCGUUAAAAGGAUUUAUGAAAAUUGAAAACUGCAACCCUUCCAAUAGUGUACAUUUUUUACCCUUAGAACUGAUGACUGUCAGAAUGAUAAACUAUUUCACAAGGUCGGCAACAGGCAGAACCUACUGCAAACAUAUACACACUUAUAAAAAUAGAAGAGAGUUGCCCUGACCUGGUUUCUCCCUAUAAGAUAUAGAUGGAAGCAUGUGAGACCACCAACAAACCAUAGGAAAAAGAAACAAUAGCCCAUGAGAAUCACAGAUGCAGGAGACUCUUUCAUUGCCUUCCAGAUAGUUCCAUGAUCGUCCAUAAGAAGUUUUAUGUUCACAGCUGACAUUGCAAAGACAAAGAUGCAUAGAAGAGCUGAUGAGGAAACGAACAGAAAGAAGUAUCGGUAGUUGCGCAGUCCAAUGCAUUGGCCCACCCAAGGGCAAUGGUGAUCAAAUCGCUCUACACAAUUAUCACAUACAGAGCAAUGUGAGCAACGAGGUGGACGGUAUAACAUGCAUGUCUCACAAUACUUAACCUUCACAUGCACACCAUUGACCAGGACUUCUUUUGUUCGGGGCAGCUGUGGAGUUGGUGUUUGUCUCCCACCAACUUCAACUGAAACUGAAGAGUCAUAAAUAUCCUCCUCUGGAGGAUGUGAACUGCGAGGAACAAUUCCCGGGUCUCGCGCUGAAGUAAGAAGAAGAAGCACUAGUACCUAUAUUGAAAAAAAUUGUGACAAAUGGACAACGUUUUUGCAACACAUCAUUGGCUAAAGAUAAAGUUGGAGAAAAGAAUAUAGACAAACACAUGAUGGACAUGGAAAAAGAAGAAUGCUUGACCAUAGAAUCCAUUACUUUUAUAGAUGUUUGGAAAAUGGGUCAAUAUCAGGCAAACUAAUAGAAGCACUCUGACUACAUAUAUAGUAAUUUUAUUCAAUUUAUUUCUCAAAUAUCUGUAGGGAGAUUCCUGUAUUUUUAGGAAGUUGUAGAAGAGAUAUCCAAACAACUAUUAAGUAAUUUCCAUCUUCCUCUUUCACAAAUGCACUCAUUUCUUAUCUAGUUUUUCUUCGGUUUUCAAACAUCUUAAUGUUUCACGUAUCAGUAAAACUAAAAUCAUGGGCAUACCAGCAUCCUUUCUCUCUAAUAGUUAUUCAUUCAUUAUAAAAUGAAAAAAAAGGUCCCAACAAUAUGUAAUGAAAACACAAUUAUGUAAUGGGAGAAAUCAGCAGGACUAACAUAGAUUGUGAACAGAAUUGCUACUGCCAGAAUUACACAGCCUGUAUUAUAUGUCGGAAAUUCAUUGAUGAGGUUCCUUGUGACAUUUGUACAGAAGACAACAAUAGGAACCACAAUGAGCAAUACGGUAACAACCAGUGACUUAGCAUCUGGGCCAAAAAUAAGCUUCCCAUUAAAGAGAAAUAUAUUGCGUCCCUUCCAAACUUGAUAGACACGCUUAGCCAUUAAUAGAUACUUUUCCCAAGCAGCAGCAAAGCAGAAAGAGAGCAGAAUAUUUGAAACUUGCAGUGGUGGUAGUUCAUUUCU
This 2591-nucleotide unclassified non-coding RNA is filed under the name Hevea brasiliensis (rubber tree). Lineage: Eukaryota; Viridiplantae; Streptophyta; Magnoliopsida; Malpighiales; Euphorbiaceae. The record is from RNAcentral.